GAAGGUAUAGCUUAGUGGUAGAGUGCUAUGCUUAGCAUGCAUGAGGUCCUAGGUUGAAUCUCUAGUACCUCCC
Molecule: transfer RNA, 73 nt
Filed under: Camelus dromedarius (Arabian camel)
Lineage: Eukaryota; Metazoa; Chordata; Mammalia; Artiodactyla; Camelidae
Also listed under: 1 other name
Rfam family: tRNA
About the family: Transfer RNA (tRNA) molecules are approximately 80 nucleotides in length. Their secondary structure includes four short double-helical elements and three loops (D, anti-codon, and T loops).
Source: Rfam by way of RNAcentral